This is a long non-coding RNA of Chinchilla lanigera (long-tailed chinchilla), 371 nucleotides long. RefSeq lists it as uncharacterized. The record is from RefSeq and is a predicted model, not a curated record. The transcript has 3 exons. NCBI's taxonomy places the organism in Eukaryota, Metazoa, Chordata, Mammalia, Rodentia, Chinchillidae.
UUCAGACUAGAUUUAAUCCAAUUAUGCAACAUCUUGAUCCAGAUUUCAAACUAAAGGAAAAACCAACUGCUGAAUUGUGAAUGAAAAUUUAUUUGCCAUAAAAGAUGGGGGCUGCAGAGGGAAGCAGGGAAUAGUUGUCGAGAGGAUUCUUGUAAUUCUUCACGUGAAUGGAUUGACUCUUCCUACAUUUGUGGCAGAGAAGUGGAAUUAAAUCCUGGCCAAGGAAAAUCAGCCAAAUGCCAGCUGUUGGGGCACAGGGGAUGUGGAGGACGGGAGGCAGGCGACACAGUGAGAAUCCUGAGCUUCAGAGAGGAACCUGGCACAUCCCACAUCUAACAGCCCCAAAGUGACAGAAUAUGCAGAUCCCAGCC